GACGAACGUUGGCGGCGUGCUUAAUACAUGCAAGUCAACUGAAGCAGUGGUAGCAAUAUCGCUGUGGAGGUGGCGCACGGGUGAGUAACACGUAGGUAAUCUGCCUUCAGGUCUGGCAUAACUCCGGGAAACCGGGGCUAAUAGCAGAUGAUGCAGCGGCUCGACAUCGAGACAGUUGUUAAAGCUAUGGCGCCUGAAGAUGAGCCUGCGUCUGAUUAGCUAGUUGGCGGGGUAACGGCCCACCAAGGCAACGAUCAGUAGCUGGUCUGAGAGGAUGAUCAGCCACACUGGAACUGAGACAAGGUCCAGACUACUACAGGAGGCAGCAGUAAGGAAUAUUGCGCAAUGGGAGAAAUCCUGAAGCAGCAACGCCGCGUGAGGGACGAAGGGCUUUUGCUUGUAAACCUCUGUAGUGAGAGAAAAAAAUCCCAAUCUUUGGGACAUGAUGGUAUCUCAAAAGUAAGCCCCGGCUAACUACGUG
RNAcentral lists this ribosomal RNA (481 nucleotides) under uncultured bacterium. RNAcentral describes it as "partial 16S ribosomal RNA". It matches the Rfam family "Bacterial small subunit ribosomal RNA", at positions 28 to 507 of the family's 1533-position model. The record is from RNAcentral.